GUGGGGCAUGCCAACCUAAAUUGAUAGCUCUACUUAUUGGGCCACAUAGUCAUCCUUUUCAACGUGCAUUUAAUGUCUAUAGUUCUACUUAAAAAUAUUUCUUCUUUUUUGAAAAAAUUAUAACAUCUUGUGAUCAUAUUACAAAUAUUUAUAUUCUAUUUAUUAAUAUAUGUCAUCCUUUAUUUGUAAUCAUACUAUCAAUUUGAGACUUCUAAGGAUGAAGAGGCCGACCGUUGGACCUUCGAAGAGGUUGCCAUAUGUAGACUCCGAGAUGGACUGUACCACCUCAGGC
Molecule: long non-coding RNA, 292 nt
Filed under: Elaeis guineensis (African oil palm)
Lineage: Eukaryota; Viridiplantae; Streptophyta; Magnoliopsida; Arecales; Arecaceae
Description: long non-coding RNA (EGUI_LNC025003)
Source: RNAcentral